Long non-coding RNA from Marmota monax (woodchuck), 821 nucleotides. RefSeq lists it as uncharacterized. The transcript is spliced from 3 exons. Lineage: Eukaryota; Metazoa; Chordata; Mammalia; Rodentia; Sciuridae. The record is from RefSeq and is a predicted model, not a curated record.
CCCUAACUUCAGCUUCUUCACAGUGGGAGUUUUGAAGGCAGAACAGCCCUACAUUGGGGCAUCAUCCUAAAAGUUUUGAGAAGGGAAAUGGCAUCUGAUGGACAGGUACCCAGAGUUGAAGCUCCCUCUGAUUCCAGCACCAGUCUAACCCCAUGUUCCUGAAGCAGUUUCUUUACCUUUAUUCUAACCAGAGUGAUCUACCUUUUGCCUCAAUGAAGAUACAAAGCAGUGUUAGUUCAUGGAAUGAAUGACUUCAAUAAAGUAAACACACACAAGAUGCAAAUGAGAACUACUGGCCUUGGUUCAAGAUGACCUGAGUUUGAAUCUUAGUACUGCCACAGAAGGGUUCUGGCAAGCUGGUCAACAAAGCUUACAAUGCAAAGAUCCGUCUCAAGUGCCCAUUAUUUUCUCCUUGCAGAUCCUCACUUGGUUUUUGCUAUUCUCAUAACAAAUGUAGGAAUUGUACUACAUGGUUUCUAAUACUCUAUACACCUCUAAAAGUCUGCAAAACUGUGAUUUGAUCCUGAUGGGUCCAUAAUUCCAGACUUGGCAUAGUUUUUGUCUAUGAACCACUUGGUUAGAAAGGCAUUUUUUUCAAAUGGUACCAGAGCAGUAGACAUCACUGCUUUCCCCAUUAUAUUGAAGGAGACUCUUCUGCAUAGUUUCUUCUACAAAUUAAAACAAGUCAGUAAAAGGCUUUCUUGUUGGUGAAACGAAUUUUGGCUUUUAGUCACCCAUUCCAAAGGAUUCAAAAUCAUGGACUUGGAACUAUUUUGAAUAAGGAAUAAAAUGAAACUGUUCUGGUUUAUUAAAUAAAAUGA